AGAACUGCCCUUGCCUACCGCCCUACUGCGGGCGCUCCCCUGUCUGGGGGGUGCUUGGCUGGGUGUGGAGAAGGAUCAAUCACAGCUGACUCCUCAGAGGUGACAGCCCCUGCCCCCUUAAAAACAAGAAAAGACCUAGCAGUGUGAAGCCAAACUGCACCCCCAGCCCCGGUGACAUGAGGAAACCGUGAGGCGCUCAGCCUGAGGUUCAUCGUUCAUCUCCUUCCUGCUUGGAAUCAGAAUGUCCUCACUGCUGAGUUUCUCCGUUUUAUGGGAUUACAUUAGUGGACAAAGGAGUGAAGCAAAGCAGCACUGAGCUCCUCCAAGUAAAGAAAGAAUUGUUUUCUGUACAACCUGGAGCUGAAUCAUAGAAGGAGAAGACAGCUUGAAAGAUAAGAGGCCGUAAGGCAGACCACAGAGGAUGGGGAGGAUUUCCCCAGCACCCCAGCCCCCAUAGUCAGCUCUGGUUCAGCGAUUUCAGCAACUCUUUCAUGACCCAUCUGAUUUUGUUUUAUCCCAGCCCUGCAGAGAAAGGACUCUGCAGGUCAGGACUUGCUUCUUCAACAGACAAAAACUCCUCUGCCAGAAAAGUUGGAGAAACUAGUUUAGAAAGUCGGAGGAUGUGAAGAAGUCUGCCUUUGUUCUGGGGACCUUGGUGGGAGAUGAGGGUGGGCUGGUGGAGACGAGGGUGAGAAUGAACCUUGCCGCAGACCCUUUGGGCUCCAUGCAGAGCUGGCUGCAGAAGAGGAAGGAAAGGAAAUUGGCCAGCUGCUGUCUCUGUGACUGGACCUGGGCCAAUCAAGAAACUGAGAGGAGCAGGGCCAGCCGGCUGUUGUGCCUCAAACUUAGGCAGAAACAAGCAAAGGCAAGGAUUUGGGGCUCUGAGUCACCCUCUCUGGAGGAACAAGAGCUUAGAGGAGGAAAUCACUUUUUAAGCUCCCUUUACUUUUACACACACGUUUUUAUUCCAGUAAAUUCAAACUAAAGAGGAAGAAGUCAUGAAAGGGCAGCUGCCACCUCAGGCCAUGGUGGCGGAGACAAAGGCUAUGGGCCGGUGUAGACGUCUAAGAAACCAACAGGAAGUCCCAGCCGGAAACACAGAAAGGAUAUGGAGAAAAUUAUUAUUCUGCCCCUACAGUUUCGGUGACCCAGAUGGGAUCUCUGGGACACCCUGCCUGCUCUACAAUUGGGAUCCCUGGAAAAGUGACAGAAUCUGGCAACAGAUGAGUAAGAAAGGUCACUUCCUGGCAGACCUCAGGUAUAUUGGGGACAUCAAGAAAAGAAUAAUUCAUCAAAGUCUACAGAUAUUGCAGGCAAAGUUGAAACAAGCCAGACAAGUUCUCUUUGUAUUCUUGAGAGACUUGGAAAGUCUAACCUGAGAUUCCUUAUUAAAAGUUCCAGCAAAACAGACUUAAAAA
Homo sapiens (human) is the source of this 1418-nucleotide long non-coding RNA. RefSeq annotates it as IKBKB divergent transcript. The record is from RefSeq and is marked validated. Lineage: Eukaryota; Metazoa; Chordata; Mammalia; Primates; Hominidae.